ACGCGCAAGGGGUAGGGGAGGCGGGCAAGAUGGCUUCUGGCGAGUGAUCCUGCCCGGAUACCUCCGGCGACCGCUGAGACACCGGGACGGGGGGUGCUGCCCCCACUGCUGCCCUUCUUCCUCUCCCCCGCCCCCAGAGACCCCCCUCCUUCCCUUCCUCCUUCUACCUCGGUGGGGAGGGAGGGGAGGUGGGCCUGGUUCCUGGGACACCAUGUCGGACUCAGAGGAGGAGAGCCAGGACCGGCAACUGAAAAUCGUCGUGCUGGGGGACGGCACCUCCGGGAAGACCUCCUUAGCUACGUGUUUUGCUCAAGAAACUUUUGGGAAACAGUACAAACAAACUAUAGGACUGGAUUUCUUUUUGAGAAGAAUAAUGUUACCAGGAAACUUGAAUGUUACUCUUCAAGUUUGGGACAUAGGAGGGCAGACAAUAGGAGGCAAGAUGUUGGAUAAAUAUAUCUAUGGAGCACAGGGAAUCCUCUUGGUAUAUGAUAUUACAAAUUAUCAAAGCUUUGAGAAUUUAGAAGAUUGGUAUUCUGUGGUGAAGAAAGUGAGUGAGGAGUCUGAAACUCAGCCACUGGUUGCCUUGGUGGGCAAUAAAAGCCUCUCACUGCUGUGGCCUCUCCCGUUGCGGAGCACAGGCUCCAGAUGCGCAGGCUCAGUGGCCAUGGCUCACGGGCCCAGCCACUACGCGGCACGUAGGAUCUUCCCGGACCGGGGCACGAACCCACAUCCCCUCCAUCGGCAGGCGGACUCUCAACCACUGCACCACCAGGGAAGCCCUCAACAUCUUUCUUGACAAAAGUUUUAAAACUACUUCUGUCACUUAGCUCUCCCAUAAUGACACUGCUGCUGUCCCCUGAAGCUCUUUCAAAUGUUGUCGUCCCUUCUAUAUCUACUUUAUCACUAGUACUGGAGUAGUGGUAAUUGGUAGUUACCUUCUUGUUACAUAUUGCUCUUUCCAGAACAUUCUCCUUCAUCUUCCCUAAAAACCCUUAGAUUUGAAUAUCAAGCCAUAUGAUUAUACCUCCUGCUACUUAUAUUUCUUGGAGUUAUCAGCCAACCCCUGAAUCACUGCUUUGAAUUUCUUGAAGAUUUUGGCUUUGGGUCAUAGUCACUCCACUACUAUUGCUAUCAUGAUUCUUGGUAAUUUUACUAUACAUACAGAUUAUCCUUCUAAUACUUUUGUGUCUCAGUUCCUUGAAUUCUUCAUCUGCCAUAAUCUUGCCACCCACCUACACUAACAUAUUUGUUCUGGAGACCUAGUCAAUAUUAGUUUCCAUACUCUCUUCAUAAUAUCAGUUAUCAGUUUCAUGUAUCCCCGUCUAUUAUUUCCUGUCUUUCCACCUCACAUCCUUUGGUAACCCAAUUCCAGUAAUUUUUAAACCCACAUAAGACCUUAACAUCAGUUGAUCUUACCAAUUUUUCGUUUUCCUGAACCCCCCUCCUACCAACUUAAAUUCCAUGGUCUAUCAAUAUAAUCACUCCCUUACAUUUAUUAUCUUCAAUUACUUGCCCUUCUUUUCAGUAAUUGUACGUGAUUGAGAAAACCCCAGCUCUACUUAAAUGCAAAUCCUCAUCUGCUCAAUACCUCCAUCCAUUGCAGCUGAGUGUACCUGGAACAAAACCUACAAUAUACUGUCUCAUUUAAAAUUCGAGUUAACUAUCUUCAAGUGAUUUCUCUUUAUCUUGUUCAUCCCAUGUCAAAUCCAUUAGCAUUUCUUAUUCGCUUUUUAUUCCAAAAAUAUAUUGAGAAUUUGCCCCACUUUUUACCAUCUCUCUUGCUCCUACUCUUGUCCAAACUACCAUCUUCUCUUUCCUAGAUUUUUAUUAUAGCCCCCUCGAUGGCUUCUCUGCUUUACAUUUGACUACAGUUUAUUCUCAUCACAGCAGCCGAAACCUUUUAAAAUUUGAUUUGGAGCAUAUGCGAACAGUAAAACCUGAAAAACACUUAAGGUUUUGCCAGGAAAAUGGUUUUAGUAGCCACUUUGUCUCAGCAAAGACAGGAGACUCU
Molecule: RNA transcript, 2014 nt
Organism: Lagenorhynchus albirostris (white-beaked dolphin)
Lineage: Eukaryota; Metazoa; Chordata; Mammalia; Artiodactyla; Delphinidae
Gene: RAB28
Gene name: RAB28, member RAS oncogene family
Exons: 6
Source: RefSeq, a predicted model, not a curated record